AAGGGAGCGUAGGCGGCUGAUUAAGUCAGCGGUGAAAGGUAGCAGCUUAACUGUUUUACAUGCCGUUGAUACUGGUUAGCUUGAGUUGACAGAAGGCAGAUAGAAUUCCUGAUGUAGCGGUGAAAUGCUUAGAUAUCAGGAGGAAUACCGAUUGCGAAGGCAGUCUGCUGCAGUCACACUGACGCUGAGGCUCGAAGGUGCGGGGAUCAAACAGGAUUAGAUACCCCGGU
This 230-nucleotide ribosomal RNA is filed under the name uncultured bacterium. RNAcentral describes it as "partial 16S ribosomal RNA". It matches the Rfam family "Bacterial small subunit ribosomal RNA", at positions 563 to 791 of the family's 1533-position model. The record is from RNAcentral.